CUGCCUAUAGCUCAGCUGGAUAGAGCAACGCCCUUCUAAGGCGUAGGUCGCACGUUCGAAUCGUGCUGGGCAGGCCA
This 77-nucleotide transfer RNA is filed under the name Polynucleobacter necessarius STIR1. RNAcentral describes it as "tRNA-Arg (TCT) (tRNA-Arg-TCT-1-1)". It matches the Rfam family "tRNA". Rfam says of the family: Transfer RNA (tRNA) molecules are approximately 80 nucleotides in length. The record is from RNAcentral. RNAcentral also lists the same sequence under 45 other names. Lineage: Bacteria; Pseudomonadati; Pseudomonadota; Betaproteobacteria; Burkholderiales; Burkholderiaceae.